UUAGUUAUUUUCUUCAAAUCAAAUUUACGCUUCACUUCAGCCGUUCUCCAGUCCAGUGGUCCACCAUUUUCAUUUGUGCUUUUUUAAUAGAGCUUUAGUAUUCUGUGGCACUACGGCCUUGAAAGGAAACUUUGCUGCUUUUAUGACUCCAUCGUUGAUCGAAAGUACUGACAUCAAAAAUGAAAUCUACAUCAUCUAGUGUUUCUCCUAUGCUUUUCGGUGCUACCGAAACUCCUACUGAUCAUCCAAAUAAUUCAAAUGAAGCUGUAAAAACUGAUUAAUCAACUGCAGCUUCUUCAAGUAUUCCAUCGAGUCUUCAACAGCCUCCAAAAAUACAGGAGGUUGGGGAGCAAGAUUUUAAGUAUAGAGAUGAGCUUUCAAGUUCAAGAAUGAAGGGUCUACCUACAAAAUAAGAUUGGAAGCAUGCGCAUGCUUUAUAUGUUACUAGUAAUUUUUAUUUUCAUGUUGUGUUUGGUUUUGGAAUGAGAAUUAAUGACAAGCUAAAUGAUCCAAACUUAAGUAUAAAGCUUAUGGCUUCAAAUAUGAGGGAAAAAUAUCACAAGUAUUGGGGAAAUGUGAAAAAUCUUAAUCCACUCUUAUUCAUUUCUAUGAUUUUAGAUCCUAGACAUAAGAUGGAUUAUGUAAUCUUUGUGGUUGAAGAAGCUUUUAUGAUGCUAAAAAAGCUGAGCAGUUGAAUGAAAUUAUAAAAACAAACUUUAAAUGAGUUGUUUGAUCAUUAUAGUUUAUUGAGUGGUUUAUCCCAAGGUGAACCAAAUGUAAGUUUUCAAUCUAAUCUCUCUAGGUUUCAGAAUGAUGAGCAGCUUGAUUUAUUUUCUUAUUCCAAGACCAAAUAUAAAAGGAAGAGGGCUGAAAAUGUGUUUAGUGAAGGAAAAUCUAAACUUGAAAAGUAUUUAGCGAACAAAGUAGAAUCCGAUGAUAAGGAAAAUCUAAAUUUGAAAGUGUCUUUAAUGGCUCGAGAUAUUUUGGCAAUUCUUGGGUCUACAGUGGCUUCCAAAUCUGCUUUCAGCACUGAAGGUCGUGUUCUCGACCCAUUUCGGAGUUCGUUAACUCCAAAAUUGUUGAGUGUCUCAUUUGUACACAAAAUUGGCUGAGAUCAUCACCUGUAGCAAUCCAAAAAGAAGAAUAAAUUGAAGAAAUGGAGAACAUUGAGAGUGGUUUUGAAGAUCUAAAGCUAAAUGAAACAAUGAUGACUAUUGAUGAUUGAUGGAAGAUGAAACACUCGCAAGGUAAGUAAGAAAUUAGUAG
Molecule: long non-coding RNA, 1266 nt
Organism: Hibiscus syriacus
Lineage: Eukaryota; Viridiplantae; Streptophyta; Magnoliopsida; Malvales; Malvaceae
Exons: 4
Source: RefSeq, a predicted model, not a curated record